AGGUCAGUAGCUUAAUUGGUAGAGCAGCGGUCUCCAAAAUCGAAGGUUGGGGGUUCAAGUCCCUCCUGGCCUG
RNAcentral lists this transfer RNA (73 nucleotides) under Candidatus Portiera aleyrodidarum (primary endosymbiont of Bemisia tabaci). It matches the Rfam family "tRNA". From Rfam's summary of the family: Transfer RNA (tRNA) molecules are approximately 80 nucleotides in length. Their secondary structure includes four short double-helical elements and three loops (D, anti-codon, and T loops). The record is from Rfam by way of RNAcentral. Lineage: Bacteria; Pseudomonadati; Pseudomonadota; Gammaproteobacteria; Johnevansiales (SeqCode); Johnevansiaceae (SeqCode).